Molecule: long non-coding RNA, 391 nt
Organism: Saccostrea cuccullata (small rock oyster)
Lineage: Eukaryota; Metazoa; Mollusca; Bivalvia; Ostreida; Ostreidae
Exons: 3
Source: RefSeq, a predicted model, not a curated record
AAACGGUGUUCGUCAGCCUUGGAAGUAACGUUAUUACUAAGGCUAUUUGGAACCAAACUAAUUUUCGGGGAUUGGCUACAUGGAUGCGAUGCAUUAACAAUUUCUUUAAAAACAUAGACACAAGAGGCACAAAAUAUCAUGAAUGCACCUGCCACGGGAAUCCAGAUAUAUUUCAACUGACCAUAAAUGACAUAGAAUCUUCAGUUGAGGGUGUAUACAGAUUGGAACUUAAGCUUCCAAACAGUGCACUGGAAAGCAAAAAUAUAACUGUUUAUGUUUUAAAUGACAUUAAUGCAAUUGGGAAGGACGAACUUAACUUCUUGCGCUAUAAAGAAUGUGACAACAUUGCAAAAGAAGCUCUUCGGAUUACGUUUGAAAGAUAUCUUCAUCA